Molecule: long non-coding RNA, 787 nt
Organism: Nyctereutes procyonoides (raccoon dog)
Lineage: Eukaryota; Metazoa; Chordata; Mammalia; Carnivora; Canidae
Exons: 3
Source: RefSeq, a predicted model, not a curated record
AGUGAUGUCGGGAUGGUGGUGAUUCAUCAUGGAACUCCAGGACCUGGGCAAGAGGGGGCAUGGAGUUUCAGAGAAGGGGACUCUCUGUCCCAGAGCAAGUGAAGGCUGUGGCAUCAGAAGAGGGAGGCCAUGCCAGAAGCAUUCAGAAAGAAGGACAUGAUGUGAAGCUCCAGGUCUGGGCUGGGAACAGCUGCCUCAGGAAAGGAGGGCUGACUUCAGAACCCAGAGUCUGGGCCUUAAUCCCUGGAUUUGCUGCCUUUGCUCCUUGUGUGAUCACAGCAGACUCAGUUAACCUCUCUGACCUUUGGUUUCGUAUCUUAAAAGGUCCACGCUGGGUGGUCAUUGGAGAGUUCGCCGCUGCUGACCAGCUGGCCGUCAGUCCUGGAGCACCGAGAGGAGUGGAGGAUGCACAAGGACUGUAGUGGAGACGCUGCUGUCCCCCUCCCCUGAGCCCACUGGGACCUCUGGCUUUGCUGGCUGCGUGUGGUCCUGCCACACACUGACUGGCUCCCACUCCCAUGGGGCUAUGCCAAGAUGAGGACACCGAGGCACAGAGAGAUUAAGUGACUUGCUGCAGGUCACACAGCUGGUGAGGAGGGGAGCCAGCAUCUGAGCUCCAGGUCCCGCGUCUCCCUAGGCCAGCAUCUGAGCUCCAGGUCCCGCGUCUCCCUAGACUGAACACACCUGGGACCAGGUAGGCGGGGCUGGAGAACGAGAGCACUCCAGCCAGAUGGAAUUGAAGACACAAAUGCUGAAUCUAUUCGUCGUCUCUUUGGAGACAACUUGC